Long non-coding RNA from Symphalangus syndactylus (siamang), 194 nucleotides. RefSeq lists it as uncharacterized. Lineage: Eukaryota; Metazoa; Chordata; Mammalia; Primates; Hylobatidae. The record is from RefSeq and is a predicted model, not a curated record.
AUGAAAUGCUCAGCUGAGAGGCACAAUAUUUAUGGAGAAGUUUCUGAAAGAUUUGGAAAUGUGGUUAUGGUAAAAUAUUAUGCUUACUUUAUAGUAAGCAUCUCCUUGCUCUCAGAAGAACUAGAGAGUUAAUUCUGCUGGUGUCUUUCUAGUAGGUCGGGUCAACAGAGCAAGAGAUGGAGAUAGAAGAGAGG